Octopus sinensis (East Asian common octopus) is the source of this 760-nucleotide long non-coding RNA. RefSeq lists it as uncharacterized. The record is from RefSeq and is a predicted model, not a curated record. NCBI's taxonomy places the organism in Eukaryota, Metazoa, Mollusca, Cephalopoda, Octopoda, Octopodidae. The transcript has 3 exons.
GACAACUGUAUUAGCCAAUGGAUUUCAAUUUGGAGGGGAAAACAAAAAUGAAAGCAUGUUAUUCAGACAGGAAUUAUUCUAAUUUAUGCACAAGGCCAGGUAUUUUGAGGGAAGAGUGUUAACCACUAUCAGUGACCCCAAUUCUUGACUGGGACUUUUAUUUCCCCAGUAAUUAAGUUAUAUUUAUGUUAACUCCUUAUGAUGAAAGUGAACCAAGAUGUGAACUCAGAAGAUUAAUUAUUUUGGAGUUUGGCUUGGUAUGAAGAAUGGUCUGAUCUCUUUAAAAAUAUCCCCUGGAGUGAUGAAGUAGUAUUCCACAUCGGUGAGUUUGUGAACCAUCACAACUGCCACUACUGGGCAGAAGGUGAUACUCGUAUUACCUCUGAAAAAGGCAGAUUCAGUCCCAGGUAUGGAAUGACUUUAGACAGGAUUGUGGGUCCUUUCAUCUUUUGCAAUACCUGAAAGCUGAAAGGUACUUCCCCAUGCUGCAAGAUGAAAUCUGGCCAGUUAUCAGUACAUGGGAGAAUAUUGAAGAUUUGAUUUUUAUGCAAGAUGGCGCUCCUCCAUAUUUUGCUAUUGUUUGUGAAUAGCUGAAUGCCCACUUCCCUUGGUGAUGGAUGGGUCAUCAAGGUCUGCAUGAUUGGCCAGCCAGAAGCCCUGAUUUAACACCCUGUGACUUUUUUCUUUGGGGUUGGUUAAAGGAGCAAACCAACGACUUUGGAAGAACUCCAGUUGGUGCAGUUCCCAGUUUUAAAUAAAA